CUCCUUUGACGUUAGCGGCGGACGGGUGAGUAACACGUGGGUAACCUACCUAUAAGACUGGGAUAACUUCGGGAAACCGGAGCUAAUACCGGAUAAUAUUUCGAACCGCAUGGUUCGAUAGUGAAAGGUGGUUUUGCUACCACUUAUAGAUGGACCCGCGCCGUAUUAGCUAGUUGGUAAGGUAACGGCUUACCAAGGCGACGAUACGUAGCCGACCUGAGAGGGUGAUCGGCCACACUGGAACUGAGACACGGUCCAGACUCCUACGGGAGGCAGCAGCA
RNAcentral lists this ribosomal RNA (281 nucleotides) under uncultured Staphylococcus sp. RNAcentral describes it as "partial 16S ribosomal RNA". It matches the Rfam family "Bacterial small subunit ribosomal RNA", at positions 81 to 355 of the family's 1533-position model. Lineage: Bacteria; Bacillati; Bacillota; Bacilli; Caryophanales; Staphylococcaceae. The record is from RNAcentral.